GACGAACGCUGGCGGCGUGCUUAACACAUGCAAGUCGAACGGAAAGGCCCUGCUUUUGUGGGGUGCUCGAGUGGCGAACGGGUGAGUAACACGUGAGUAACCUGCCCUUGACUUUGGGAUAACUUCAGGAAACUGGGGCUAAUACCGGAUAGGAGCUCCUGCUGCAUGGUGGGGGUUGGAAAGUUUCGGCGGUUGGGGAUGGACUCGCGGCUUAUCAGCUUGUUGGUGGGGUAGUGGCUUACCAAGGCUUUGACGGGUAGCCGGCCUGAGAGGGUGACCGGCCACAUUGGGACUGAGAUACGGCCCAGACUCCUACGGGAGGCAGCAGUGGGGAAUAUAGCACAAUGGGCGGAAGCCUGAUGCAGCAACGCCGCGUGCGGGAUGACGGCCUUCGGGUUGUAAACCGCUUUCGCCUGUGACGAAGCGUGAGUGACGGUAAUGGGUAAAGAAGCGCCGGCUAACUACGUG
RNAcentral lists this ribosomal RNA (468 nucleotides) under uncultured bacterium. RNAcentral's name for it is "partial 16S ribosomal RNA". It matches the Rfam family "Bacterial small subunit ribosomal RNA", at positions 28 to 507 of the family's 1533-position model. The record is from RNAcentral.